Molecule: ribosomal RNA, 465 nt
Filed under: uncultured bacterium
Lineage: Bacteria
Description: partial 16S ribosomal RNA
Rfam family: Bacterial small subunit ribosomal RNA
Source: RNAcentral
GACGAACGCUGGCGGCGUGCUUAACACAUGCAAGUCGAACGGAAAAGCCCCUUUGGGGGUACUCGAGUGGCGAACGGGUGAGUAACACGUGAGUAACCUGCCCUUGACUUCGGGAUAACUUCAGGAAACUGGGGCUAAUACCGGAUAGGAAUCCUUGCUGCAUGGUGGGGGUUGGAAAGCUUCGGCGGUUUUGGAUGGACUCGCGGCUUAUCAGCUUGUUGGUGGGGUAGUGGCUUACCAAGGCUUUGACGGGUAGCCGGCCUGAGAGGGCGACCGGCCACAUUGGGACUGAGAUACGGCCCAGACUCCUACGGGAGGCAGCAGUGGGGAAUAUUGCACAAUGGGCGGAAGCCUGAUGCAGCAACGCCGCGUGCGGGAUGACGGCCUUCGGGUUGUAAACCGCUUUCAGCAGGGGCGAAGCUUGUGGUGACGGUACCUGCAGAAGAAGCACCGGCUAACUACGUG